Molecule: long non-coding RNA, 2027 nt
Filed under: Arabidopsis lyrata
Lineage: Eukaryota; Viridiplantae; Streptophyta; Magnoliopsida; Brassicales; Brassicaceae
Description: long non-coding RNA (ALYR_LNC000782)
Source: RNAcentral
GGAUGGAUCUUAGGGUUUUGUAAUCCAGAAAAAGAACUCAGGUUUAACUGUAGAGAACUUGUCAGUCUUCAAGAGUUUACUUAAUUACAACGCAUAUUCUCAUUUCUUUAGAAGCCUUUCGAGUUGGAAUUCGCUUAAGCCAUUUUGGAUAACAUGUAAUAGCAUGUACUCCUACAAUAAAGCUAAGGUACCUGUUCUUGAUGAAGCAUGUUGUCUCAUAUUGGUUUUAGGUUUCUGAGCAGAAGCAAGAUAAAGACAUAGUGGUGUUGCAGUUUAGAUGGCAGUAUCAACUGAUUACCAAGUUAAGUUUCCUGAAAGUGGUGAUCUUUACUCUAUACUAGCAGCUGAAGGGAUUGAGUUUCUUUUGUCGCAUAGUGGAGAGGUACGGCUUAUGCUCUCUCGUUUAUUAUAUUUUGAUAUUUUCGUCUGGUCUUUUAUACUCAACUAUAAGCUCACUUCAAUCAGGUGCCGUUGGAAUAUAUUCAUGGCAAGACGAUUUGUCUCUUCUUCUCUGCAAACUGGUGCAGGCCUUGCAAGGACUUCACUCCAGAGCUGGUAAAACUCUACGAAAAUCUUCAAACCCGAGGAGAAGAACUCGAGAUCAUCUUUGUAUCGUUUGAUCAUGAUAUGACUUUAUUCUAUGAACAUUUCUGGUGCAUGCCAUGGCUCGCAGUCCCCUUCAAUUUAAACCUACUCAACAAAUUAAGGGACAAGUACAGAAUUUCUCGUAUCCCGUCACUGGUUCCUCUAUAUUCAGAUGAAAUCUCAGUCGCUGAAGAUGUAAUUGGUCUAAUUGAAGAUUAUGGUCCUGAAGCAUUUCCUUUCACUAAAAAGAGAAAAGAAGAACUCAAAGCUAUCGAUGACUCCAAACGCAUUGGUGGACAAUUGGAGAAACUCCUUACUCAUGAGUCCCGAAAUUACGUUGUUGCCAGAAAUGGAAGUAAGGUAAAAAUAACUGACUUAUAGACUUCAGAUAUCUGGUCGGAUCAAAUGAUCAUAUAUGAUUAUGUCUAUGAACAUUAUGCAGGUGCUAGUUUCUAAACUAGUGGGCAAGACUAUAGGGUUGUACUUUGGUGCCCACUGGUGUCCGCCUUUUCGAUCUUUCACUUCUCAGCUCCUGGAUGUGUACAAUGAGCUCGCGACCAGAGAUAAAGGCUCCUUUGAAGUCAUCUUAGUUUCAACAGACAGAGACUCAAGAGAGUUUAACAUCAACAUGACCAAUAUGCCAUGGCUUGCAAUACCUUAUGAGGACAGAACAAGACAAGACCUUUGUAGAAUCUUCAGCAUCAAACUCAUACCUGCAUUGGUCAUCAUAGGACCGGAAGAGAAAACAGUGACCACAAACGCAAGAGAGAUGGUAUCGUUGUAUGGAUCAAGGAGUUUCCCAUUCACAGAAUCAAGGAUUGUUGAGUUAAAAGCUUGUUUGAAGAAAGAAGGUGAUUCACUUCCAAGGAAAGUGAAGGAUAAGAAGCAUGAACAUGAGCUAAAGCUGGAUAUGGCGAAAGCUUAUGUGUGUGAUUUCUGUAAGAAGCAAGGCAGGUUUUGGGCGUUUUCUUGCGAUGCUUGCGAUUAUGAUCUUCAUCCUACAUGUGUGGAAGAACAAGACGCAUUGUUGGUUUAGCAAAAGAGACAUUAGUCGUGAUUUGUCUGAAUGAUUUUGUAAUAUUAGUAAACAUAGAAGACAGUCGUCGGGAUAUAUUAUGUUCUCAAAAUGAAAUUAAGAAAUCAAUGGGCCAUGCCAUGUAAAACAACAAAUCACAAGUUUAGGAAUUAGGAUCAAGAUUGUAAUUAGAUGUUCUGUUUGUAUAAUCAACAUUCUGUUUUCAUUAAUAGAAAAGUAUAUUUUAUAUUUACAUUUUCUUACAAGUAUAUAGAUUGAAAAGUAAGUCUUAGCUUAUGAUUUUUUUUGUUUUCAUUUCUUUAAUAUUCAUUUGGAUAUAAUCUGAUUUCUAAUACUCCUACAAUAAAGCUAAGGUAACCUGUUCUUGAUGAAGCAUGUUGUCUCAUAUUGGUUUUAGGUUUCUGAG